GAAAAGGGACCAUGAUAUGGGACUCCGUACACCUUGGUAGCUUGUUCUAGAUAUAAUAUGUUUGUUUUUUGUCAUAACUGCGCAAUCCUAUGCCGUCAAAAGCCCGCAUGUGUUUCUGACCUGAAUCAAAGGUCGCGAACUGGUCUCGUGAAAAGUAACCCAGCUCCAAUCUCAAAUGUCCAAAACUAUUUGUGGCCCCACUUUGGAAAAGAGAAAUCUAGAUUAAUAUUUAUCGACAAUGAGGAAGAUUAUUUGUUAUCCUACCUAAUUCCGAUAGCAAAGCUAGCGAAGGUACGCGCAGAUAAGUGUGACGAUUCCAUACUGAUCGUAACAGAAAGUUCCGAGCGUGCUAAUCAUCUCUUUGAUUUGAUAACUGUUCACUGGGAAAAACAGAGAUCUGUGGUUGAGCUGACGUCUGCCGUUGAUACAUUUAUACCUAUUUUGGCCGAGGAUUAUCUUGAUCAUUAUGUUUUGAAAAUAAACAACGACGAUUCUUUACUAAUUCCGCUUAUUCAUCACACUAAUGUCAACUUCUAUCGACAUUGCUUAGAAAAUUCAAAAGUUGUUAUUUUUGAUGUUGAUUACAUAACUGCAGAAAUUAACCAAUUUAUUCUUUAUUUGGUCUCUAAUACUUACCAUGGCCAAAUUCUGUUGUUUCUCAAGCAAAUCGAAAGAUCAGUUUUUUUAUUGAUGAGAGCCAUAAAUGAAAAGCCAGCUGAUUUCAAUCUGACUCUGGUGUCGAAGCCAGAAAAUGCGCUUGUUAUCUCGCCUGUCAGACACAUUAUGUACAUGAUCGAUAAUUUGAGAAAACAUUGGUUUGAGUUUAUGGGUGAUAUAAUUCAAUGUACAAAUGGCAACGUGGCUAUAUUCUGUAAUUCAGAUGUGCAAGUUAAUCAACUGAAAGAGUAUUUCGAUUCAAAAUGUAGGAGUUCUUCGGCUAUCGCAUCUGACUGCUCUGCAAGCGACCAAGCAAAAGUUCUGUCGGACUUCCAAUCUUUCUCAGAUGUCUGCAAAAUCCUGAUUAUAAACGACGCAAUAACUGAUGGCCAUUUGAGUAUCCUCAAUUAUAAGAAUCCAAAUUUGUACGAUUUAUUUGCAAAACUUGGUAAAAUGCAACGCGUAAUUCAUUUUUCAUUUCCUGUAAAUGACCAAGUUUUAGUUAAGAGACUUUGGACAAUGCGUGAAAACUUCAAUAAAAAAGCGAAUGACAAAAAAUCAGAGCUAAUGAUGUAUGCUUCUUAUUAUUUUGUGCCUUCUGAUAUGCUAUCUGAUUUCAAAAUAGAAUCUCUUAAAAGUGCUAUAAAUUUUAUUGAAAGAUGUGAAACUGAAGUGCACAGCAGUGUUCGAAAAGUUCAAGAGUUCUAUAAAAUAAAUCUGGAAUGUUGAAACGUAGUUUUGAGAUGAUUGAACCUA
Molecule: long non-coding RNA, 1413 nt
Organism: Symsagittifera roscoffensis
Lineage: Eukaryota; Metazoa; Xenacoelomorpha; Acoela; Convolutidae
Exons: 3
Source: RefSeq, a predicted model, not a curated record